Molecule: ribosomal RNA, 216 nt
Filed under: Glomeromycotina sp.
Lineage: Eukaryota; Fungi; Glomeromycota
Description: partial small subunit ribosomal RNA
Rfam family: Eukaryotic small subunit ribosomal RNA (bases 40-216)
Source: RNAcentral
UGGUCAGUAGGUUGGUCGUGCCACCGGUACGUACUGGUCUCACUGAUUCCUCCUUCCUGAAGAACCGUAAUGCCAUUAAUUUGGUGUUGCGGGGAAACAGGACUGUUACUUUGAAAAAAUUAGAGUGUUUAAAGCAAGCUAACGCUUGAAUACAUUAGCAUGGAAUAAUGAAAUAGGACGAUCGAUCCUAUUUUGUUGGUUUCUAGGAUUGACGUA